UUUUGUUUUUUUUUGUGAAUGUUGGACAGUGUUUAGCUAGUUUGAACACUGAACAUGCAUAGUAAAAUAGUAUGGUUCUGAGUAAUUAGAUGGUGCAUUCCCAGAAAAACCAUCAGACUUCUCUUUAUCUUAUGUUGCAUAGUCAUCUUCAUGUAGCACACAUUUUGAAGAAAACUGAAGUGUGAAGCUUUUGUUCUUAGUCUCUAAACACUUAUUUUUCUCCAAACAAUAUGGUGCAACAAUGUACAGAGAGUUCAAAGAUCAAUUAUAUUCACAUAGGCAUGUGAAAUCUCGUUCCAAUCAGCAUUAGUCGAUGAGCUUCAGGUCUUUUCAGAUCUCUUGCUUUGUGGCUAGAAUACAGUCUAUAACUGAUGUUGCUCCUGGUAGAAGGCCUUGUCAAUUCUUCCUGCCUGAGGUUUCUUCCCAGGGCAUAGAAAGCCUGUGGUAAUGUAUUUGACACAGUGCUGGAGGGUAAAUUAUACUUAUUUUGAAAAGUUAUGUUAAAAAUAGAUGGCAGGUGAUUGCUUUCCUGGGACAGCCAAUGCUUUGUGCAGGGAGCUUCCUUUAACCUGUAGCCGUUCUCUUUUGGAAUAAAGUCUGUGAGGACCUUGAAGACAUUUCCUGGGUCACCACUGACACUCAAUCUUUCAUCAGCAGUGACCGCUCUGGUGGCAUCUGGCAUUAUGGCUUUGGUGACAACUUCUGCUGGAUGGAAAUCUGUUGGCUCCACUCUUUUAAAAAGACUCUUCCUCAGGUUUCUGGACUCUUUGACAGGUGGCAACACACGAAAGCUUCUGAUGCUAAGAGCAACUGUAUUUUCCUUCAGGAUUUGACACGGUUCUGUAUGGUAAUAGCAGACUGAUGGUGAUUUUUGUGUACACUGUUCAUCUCCAGACAGCAAUUUGUUCAUUAAUGGUUCUGACAUAUUUUGCAGAGAUAAACUGAGAGAGUAAAGUUCAUCUGAAGAGGAAUUGUCAGUUUCUUCUGCAAGAUCUAGAAUGGUUGGAUCAGUCUUUCUGAAACUUUUCAAAGCAUUUCCAGCAGAGCAGUAGAUUGGCAAAUCAGAAAGAUUAAGGUCUGCACAGAGGAGACAGUGAGAGUCUAUGAAGUCUUGCUUGAUUUUUUUCCCCUUCCUUGGAGGUUGAAGAAAUACCCCAAAAGAAGGAAAUCUCCCCCAACCUUCAACCUGUUAAAAAAUGCAGUCUGUGAGUUUCUUACUUUGAAAU
Molecule: long non-coding RNA, 1226 nt
Organism: Cyprinus carpio carpio
Lineage: Eukaryota; Metazoa; Chordata; Actinopteri; Cypriniformes; Cyprinidae
Source: Ensembl